UUCGUAGGCGGUGUGGCAAGUCGGGAGUGAAAUCUCUGGGCUCAACCCAGAGACUGCUUCCGAAACUGCUGUGCUUGAGUGUGGGAGAGGCGCGUGGAAUUGCAGGUGUAGCGGUGAAAUGCGUAGAUAUCUGCAGGAACACCCGUGGCGAAAGCGGCGCGCUGGACCACUACUGACGCUGAGGAACGAAAGCUAGGGGAGCAAACA
RNAcentral lists this ribosomal RNA (207 nucleotides) under uncultured bacterium. Its description in RNAcentral is "partial 16S ribosomal RNA". It matches the Rfam family "Bacterial small subunit ribosomal RNA", at positions 568 to 774 of the family's 1533-position model. The record is from RNAcentral.